Molecule: transfer RNA, 71 nt
Filed under: Lasius niger
Lineage: Eukaryota; Metazoa; Arthropoda; Insecta; Hymenoptera; Formicidae
Rfam family: tRNA
About the family: Transfer RNA (tRNA) molecules are approximately 80 nucleotides in length. Their secondary structure includes four short double-helical elements and three loops (D, anti-codon, and T loops).
Source: Rfam by way of RNAcentral
GUCUGAAUAGUUUAAUGAUAAAGCAGUUGUCCAGAAUGCAAAAGACUCGGGUUCGAUGUCUGAUUCAGCCA